GCAUAACGCGAAGAACCUUACCAAGGCUUGACAUCCCCUUGACAGGUGCAGAGAUGUACCCUCCUCUUCGGAGGCAAGGGUGACAGGUGGUGCAUGGUUGUCGUCAGCUCGUGUCGUGAGAUGUUGGGUUAAGUCCCGCAACGAGCGCAACCCUUAUCCUUAGUUGCCAUCAGGUGAAGCUGGGCACUCUAAGGAGACUGCCGAUGAUAAAUCGGAGGAAGGUGGGGAUGACGUCAAAUCAUCAUGCCCCUUAUGUCUUGGGCUACACACGUGCUACAAUGGUCGGUACAAAGGGAAGCGAAGGAGCGAUUCGGAGCUAAUCCUAAUAAACCGAUCCCAGUUCGGAUUGUAGGCUGCAACUCGCCUACAUGAAGUCGGAGUUGCUAGUAAUCGCGAAUCAGAACGUCGCGGUGAAUGCGUUCCCGGGUCUUGUACACACCG
This 441-nucleotide ribosomal RNA is filed under the name uncultured bacterium. RNAcentral's name for it is "bacterial SSU rRNA". It matches the Rfam family "Bacterial small subunit ribosomal RNA", at positions 954 to 1392 of the family's 1533-position model. The record is from RNAcentral.